GAGUUUGAUCCUGGCUCAGGAUGAACGCUGGCGGCGUGCUUAACACAUGCAAGUCGAACGGGGGUGCCAUGAACGAAGCAUCAGUUUACUGAUAUGGAGGGAAUGGGACCCUAGUGGCGGACGGGUGAGUAACGCGUGGGUAACCUGCCCCAUACCGGGGGAUAACACUUAGAAAUAGGUGCUAAUACCGCAUAAGCGCACGGUACUGCAUGGUACAGUGUGAAAAACUCCGGUGGUAUGGGAUGGACCCGCGUCUGAUUAGCUUGUUGGCGGGGUAACGGCCCACCAAGGCGACGAUCAGUAGCCGGCCUGAGAGGGUGGACGGCCACAUUGGGACUGAGACACGGCCCAAACUCCUACGGGAGGCAGCAGUGGGGAAUAUUGGGCAAUGGACGCAAGUCUGACCCAGUAACGCCGCGUGAAGGAAGAAGGCUUUCGGGUUGUAAACUUCUUUUAAGGGGGAAGAGCAGAAGACGGUACCCCUUGAAUAAGCCACGGCUAACUACGUGCCAGCAGCCGCGGUAAUACGUAGGUGGCAAGCGUUGUCCGGAUUUACUGGGUGUAAAGGGCGUGCAGCCGGAGAGACAAGUCAGAUGUGAAAUCCACGGGCUCAACCCGUGAACUGCAUUUGAAACUGUUUCCCUUGAGUGUCGGAGAGGUAAUCGGAAUUCCUUGUGUAGCGGUGAAAUGCGUAGAUAUAANGAAGAACACCAGUGGCGAAGGCGGAUUACUG
This 733-nucleotide ribosomal RNA is filed under the name uncultured bacterium. RNAcentral describes it as "bacterial SSU rRNA". It matches the Rfam family "Bacterial small subunit ribosomal RNA", at positions 9 to 731 of the family's 1533-position model. The record is from RNAcentral.